GGGCCGCUAGCUCACCAGGUAGAGCACCGCCCUUUUAAGGCGGGGGCAGCAGGUUCAAGUCCUGCGCGGCCUA
RNAcentral lists this transfer RNA (73 nucleotides) under Candidatus Omnitrophota bacterium. RNAcentral describes it as "tRNA-Lys". It matches the Rfam family "tRNA". Rfam says of the family: Transfer RNA (tRNA) molecules are approximately 80 nucleotides in length. The record is from RNAcentral. Lineage: Bacteria; Pseudomonadati; Candidatus Omnitrophota.